RNAcentral lists this ribosomal RNA (251 nucleotides) under uncultured bacterium. RNAcentral's name for it is "partial 16S ribosomal RNA". It matches the Rfam family "Bacterial small subunit ribosomal RNA", at positions 525 to 776 of the family's 1533-position model. The record is from RNAcentral.
ACGGAAGGUCCGGGCGUUAUCCGGAAUUAUUGGGUUUAAAGGGAGCGCAGGCGGGAGUAUAAGUCAGCUGUUAAAUAUCAGAGCCCAACUCUGUUAUGCAGUUGAAACUAUAUUUCUUGAGUACGCACAGGGAUGGCGGAAUUCAGGGUGUAGCGGUGAAAUGCUUAGAUAUCCUGAAGAACUCCGAUCGCGAAGGCAGCCAUCCGGAGCGUAACUGACGCUGAGGCUCGAAGGUGCGGGUAUCGAACAGG